UACAGAGACCCCAAGCGUUAUCCGGAAUUAUUGGGCGUAAAGGGUGUGUAGGUGGUUUUAUUAGUCAGUUGUUAAAUACCAGGGCUCAACUCUGGUGCUGCAAUUGAAACGGUAAAACUCGAGUGUAUGAGAGGUGAGUGGAACUCUAUGUGUAGGGGUAAAAUCCGUUGAUAUAUAGGGGAACACCAAAAGCGAAGGCAGCUCACUGGCAUAUUACUGACACUGAAACACGAAAGCGUGGGUAGCGAAUGGG
Molecule: ribosomal RNA, 253 nt
Filed under: uncultured bacterium
Lineage: Bacteria
Description: partial 16S ribosomal RNA
Rfam family: Bacterial small subunit ribosomal RNA
Source: RNAcentral